GCGAGUGUGCUGGAAUAGGAAGACAGGCACGUUUGAGGGGCGUGUGUCGAAGGACGUAUGGGUUCAAGUCCCAUUACUCGCACCA
Molecule: transfer RNA, 85 nt
Filed under: Ruminococcus sp.
Lineage: Bacteria; Bacillati; Bacillota; Clostridia; Eubacteriales; Oscillospiraceae
Description: tRNA-Leu
Rfam family: tRNA
About the family: Transfer RNA (tRNA) molecules are approximately 80 nucleotides in length. Their secondary structure includes four short double-helical elements and three loops (D, anti-codon, and T loops).
Source: RNAcentral